GUGGUAAACCAAUUAAUGUGGGUUUUGUUGGUACAGGUCAAUAACAAAUUCAAAUGUUCAACCAAUAACAAAUUUUCUAUAAGCUUGGUAUUCAGAGUUUGGCAAAACCAUGAAAAAAAAUAUCCUCGGAAAUGCAAGUGUUCCUCAAUUGACGAAAAUUGAUAACCACAAAAUAAAUGAGUCCACAGUAUCUAGAACUAAAUAAACUCAUCAUAUUUACCAGGACUAAAUUUUAUAUAUAUGCCAGACGUGCGAAAAGACUCAUCAGUGACGCUCGAAUCCAAAAAAGUUAAAAAGGCCAAAUAAAGUACGAAGUUGAGGAGCAUUGAGGACCAAAUUUCCUAAAAGUUUUCCAAAUACCGCUAAGGUAAUCUAUGCCUAAGGUAGAAAAUCCUUAGUAUUUCAAAAAAUUCAAAAUUUUAUAAACAGUUAAAAAAGACCAACUUUAGUC
RNAcentral lists this long non-coding RNA (451 nucleotides) under Mytilus galloprovincialis (Mediterranean mussel). The record is from RNAcentral. Lineage: Eukaryota; Metazoa; Mollusca; Bivalvia; Mytilida; Mytilidae.